This 7348-nucleotide long non-coding RNA is filed under the name Brassica napus (rape). RNAcentral describes it as "long non-coding RNA (BNAP_LNC006488)". Lineage: Eukaryota; Viridiplantae; Streptophyta; Magnoliopsida; Brassicales; Brassicaceae. The record is from RNAcentral.
UCCAACGAUCUCACAUCAGAUAAUCCCAUUCUCCUUUCCAUCAAGAAAAUAAUAAUAAUAAUCAGUUUCGGAACCAUGGAGCCGGAGAGCAACUUCCCGUCCCCUUCUUCUCCGUCGCUCAUAUCCUAAUACAACCCAUAGAAAACAAGAUCAUGUUUGUAAUCGGGAGCUACAUCAUGUACGACGACGACGAAGCUAUCGGCCGUGAUUCUGAUUCCCAAAGUAAACGCCGUCUCCCUUUCUCUCAUCCGUAAGGUAUCAAAAUCCUCUUUCUUUCUCUGUUUUUUAAAAUGCUUUUUGUUUUCUCAAAAGCUUCUUUUUGGGGGGGAAGAGGGAGAUUCUAUAUUGCCCGGAUUGAUUAUAAGACAAAUUCAUAAUGUGAAAACAAGUAGAACAGCGUCCAGUCAUUGAUCGUUAGCGAUCGUAACGUUUCAUUUGUCUUUUUAUACUUAUGAUUUACUUAGUCCACUCAUAAAUAAUCAAUCCGGUAAUUUUAAUCGACUUCUUUCUCUCUGUUUUAAAAAUGUUUUUUUUUUGUCAAAAGCUUUUUUUGGGGGAAAUUCUAUAUUAGUGGACUGAUAGACACUAAAUUCAUAAUGUGUAAACAAAUAGAAUGUCGUGUCCAGUCAUUUAUUUGUCCGUUAGAGAUCAUUAAUUUCUUUCAUUUUGCCUUUAUACUUAUGGUCAUUUUAGUCACUCAAAAUCAGUUCGGCAAUUAAGAGUUUCCCCCAUUCGUAUUUUCAUGGUUUCCUUUUCAAAUCUUUUGCUUGUUUGUUGUGUUGUGUGUUUCUUGUUUUUUCGUGUUUGCUUGUUUGUCGAGUUAGAAAUCAGUGAUGCUGUGUUAUGGAACUUGACAUUGAAGCCUUAUCUGGAUAUGGGUUUUUAAAGAAGAAGCUGUCGUCGACCUCUCUUCUGCAUAUCAUACAAGUUAUGUUACAAACUUAUAGUUCAUCGAUGUAUUGCGCUGAAAUUAGGACUUCAUUUGAUGCUCACCGUGGCCAAUGAAUAUGUAAUGUUGCCAUUACACAUGAUGUGUUAUUAAUUUUAUUAUCUGAAGAACUCCUGCCAUAAAUGAUAUUUGUGAUCUUGAUGAUACGAUGUUUCUUUUAGACUGACAAGAAAAGAACUAAAAAGUAAAGACUAUAGAAAUUACAUAAAAUAGACUUAUUAUUAUUUUAAAAGUAUUUAUUUAGACUUACACAAUCAUCUAAAAUUAUACUAACAAUAGUUUUAAAACAACCUUUUAUCAAAAAAAAAAGUUUGAAAGUUAAAUGAUAUAUUAUUAAUUUUAUUCUCUAAAGAACUCAUGCCAUAAAUGACACGUGUGAUUUUGAUGAUACGAUGUCUCUGUUAGAUUGGUAAGAAAAAGACUAAAAAGUAAAGACUAAAUUACAAAAAAUAGACUUAUUAUUAUUUUUAGAAUAUUCAUUUAGACUUACACAAUCAUCUAAAUUUAUAAUAUAUAACAAAAGUUUGAAAACAACCUUUUGUCAAAAAGAAAAGUUUGAAAACAACCUUCAUUUCAUUUCCAGUGUGAUCUUACCAAAACUUUAUAAAAAGAAGUUGUCGGGUCAUUUCAUUGGUACACUUUCAGGGAUCUUAACAAAUUUCUAUACCAAAAUCAAAAGUCUAAAUGCAAAAUUAAUUAAAAUUUUGUUCUAUUUCAGCACAAAAUACUAUGGUAUUGAAACAAAAAAUACUAUGGUUAAAUGUGGAGAAGUAAAUACAAUCUAAUAUAAAAACUCAAUCGAAUAAAUAUUAUAUAUCUAAAUUACAUAUAUCUAAACUAAAAUAUUAUAAUAUAUAUAAUACAAAAUAAUUUAAAUAUAAUUGGAAUAUUAAUAACUUUUAUCAUAUAUUUUUUAAUACUUUUAUAUCCAUGCAUGAGCACGAGAAUAAUUAAUAUGUGUUGUCUAUGAACUUCCUCGUAUAGUUUUAAAAUCCAAAAAAUUACUUGACAUUAUUCCUCUUGAUUGGUUUUAGAAGGAAAAAAAUUUGCCAUCCGAAAAAAAAGAUGGGAGAUAGUUGGAUUACUCCUCGAUAAUUUAGACUUUCUCUCAUUUAUAUAUAAAUAUGUUUUAAAUUUCUAUUAGCUAAUAAACAUUACUUGACAUUAUUCCUCUAGAUUGGUUGUAGAAGGAAAAAAAAUUGUCAUCCAAAAAAGAAGCUGGGAGAUAGUUGGAUUACUCCUUGAUAAUUUAGACUUUCUCUCAUUUAUAUAUAAAUAUGUUUUAAACUUCUAUUAGCUAAUAAAAAUUUAAUCAUUUAUUAUUCUUUAAGCGUAUCAUUCUAGUAUUUAAUGUGAGAUCUCAAAUGCAAAAUAUCAUUUCAAAAAUAUUAAUGUAUAUGUGUUAGAUAUUUAGAAAUUAAAAAAUAAUGUAUGAUAUAGUUAUAGUUUAUAAAUCAUUAUUUUACUUUAAUUUUGAAAAAGAUCACAUUAUCAUAUAUAGACUCUUUAAAAACUUAGAAUGAAUUCUAACAAUUAAAAUUUACAUUUAAAUGGUUACCAUUUUAAUAAAUACCAUAAUUUUAUUAUGAAAAACAAAAAAAAAUUAACUCUCAUAAAUUAUUUAUAAAUGUUUAAAAAUUAUUUAUAAAAAAUUAUAAACUCAGCCUCACCAACUAAUUACUAAAUUAUAAACAAUAUGCACUAAACUUUAAAACAUAAAUAUUAUAAUAUUUUUGAUUGAGUGUAUUUUUGAAAAUUUUGUAUCCAAUUUAAUAUUAUGCAAGCAAUUUCUCAAAAUUUCACUCGCCUUUCCAUGAAAUAUGAUUGUGUACUUCCAUUUAUAUUUCAUUAGUUUUGUGUUGGAUAUUCACCGGUACUUUUAAUUUUAAAUUUCACUAAGAACUAAAAUAUUAAAUAUAUAAAUAAAUAAAAAUCAUUUUAUCCAUAAGAUUGCUACAUGGUAAACAAUUAAGUUUUCAUUAUUUUUAUUUUCAAAUUUUACAUGAAAUUUGGUACUAAUUCUAAUAUAAUAUUUUAUCAAUUCACUUUAAUGAAGAAAAAGGCAAAAGACAACCGACAUAUCAAUAUUUGUUAUUUUUAUUUAGAUUUGGCAACUUAAUACACUUUAUUAUGCUACAAAACUAACAACAAUUAAUAAUAUUGUUAUUUUUUCUUUGAUAAAGUCAUGUAUUAUUAUAAAUAUUAUUUGAGUUUUAAUGUAGAUAAAAAAUCAGGGUUAACAACUAUAAAGGCAUACGCAGUCACUCUUUCNNNNNNNNNNNNNNNNNNNNNNNNNNNNNNNGCAGUCCCCCUUUCCUGUGCUUUGUUUAGUGCAAAAACUAUCCCCUUUCCUUUUUUUGAUACAUUCAGUUCUACAUUGAGUAAUAUCACAUUCUCCUUUAUUGAUUGGGUACAUGUCGAUACAAGUUUUUGGUUUUGACGGUGGUCCUCUUUUCUGAGCAAUCGUCAUUACUCCUGUUAUUACAAUAGUUAAAAUAUAACUUCAGUUUUCAUAUUUAAAAAAGAAAAUUAGUAUUUUUGGUUAAAAGAGUUUUUUUUUAUAUAGGAAAAGAAAAACUUCAACUAUGAACAUCUCUUUCUUAGUCAUUGAUUAUUUUGGGUACAUUGCUAAACUCAAGAUUAUAGAAUUCAAUAUACAAAUUUUAUAGGUAUAUAAAAUAAUAUGAUAUCACAAUAACUUUAAUUUUAAAUAAUUGUACAAUAUAAUAAUAAAAUUUAAAAUGCAAAUACAAAUACAAAUACAUACCGAAAAGAAGAAUUGUGAGCAUAACACGACCAAUAAGCGGAGGUUGAAAAGCAUUUUUCAUCUUUGAUAAUUAAAUAAAUGUGUUUUAAAAUUACAAACACAGAUAAUUAUAUUUAUAGAUGAAUCAAAAAUUGAAACAUAUCUAAUUUAAGCUAUGUAUCUUCUAAAAUUCCGAUAUAAAAGGAUCUAAUUUGACCAAAAUGUUUUUUCAAAAUUUCUAGUUUUUAUUUGUAUGAUAGAUAAAAAAAUUUUGACUUGGUUAAAUUUAAAAUAUUUCUUGAUAUACAUAAAAACCAACCAAUUUCCAUUAAGUCACACAUUCAAAAAAUACAAAACAAGAACUAUUAAGCCGAUGGAUAAAUUUUUGGGGGUUUUGCAAAAAUGACUCAAAACAAAACGUUAAAUGCAAAAUUAACCCAUGAUUUUUUUGGAACUUUCAUUUUCUCUAUUCACUUUAAAAGUUUGGAUUAUUCAUGAAAAUGCCUUUUUUUUUUUGAAAUUGCUUGAUUUACUCAGUCAUCCUUAUAUUCGUCUUUUAUUUACAACAUUGCUAUUAUUAUCAAUACACCAAUAACCAUGAAAAACCAAUGUCAAGCUUUAAAUGCACCUAAAAUCAACAUCUCCAUUUUUAUAUUCUUAUUUCUUACACACACAAACCAUUUCCCUUUCAGUUUCUCUCUUAUUUCAUCCCAACUUUUUAUUUCACAAUUUAUAAGCUUAUUAGAAUUACUCAAGUUCAUGAUUUUUUAUCAAGAACUAGUGGGUAAAUUUCACUAAGAAAUGAUGUGUGUUUGAAGAAAGUAAACAUGAACCUCACUAGAUCUAAGACUGAUUUUUGAAUUUUUACAGAUCUGUUCGCUAAGAGUACAAAAGUCUCCUCAUCAAUGAAUAUGUUAGUUUUACAGUUGACUUUCUCUGUGUUUUUUAAAGACGAUUUCUCUUGAAAUCUUAAAACUUAUUUUGUUAACAACAAAGAAAUGAGAAGACUUCCACAAGUCUUUUCUGACAUCUUUGAGAUUUUUUUUUUUCAAAACCAAAAGUAAGCCAAUAUUUACAAAAAAAAAAGACUUUCAGUUUGUAAAUUUGCAAUUGGGAAAAUGACUUAAAUGGUAGACUUCCAAGAAGUCUUAUGUCAGAAGACUUCUAAAAGUCUUUAAAAAUCUCUAGGUCAAUGUUUAAUAAAUUUUCAUUUUCUCUAAAAUUAAAAAAACUUUAUAAUGUUUUCUUAUUAAUUCAUGUAUAUUAGUCAAUGUCUGAAUUCCUGAAUGAAAUUCAUAACUUAAGUUAGUGAUAAUUACGAAGUUAGUAAUUUUCAUGUUUAUUAAUGUUUCUAGCUAAUGAGAGAAUACUUUUGGGGGAGUCUUCUAUGUUAGUUUUUGUAAAACUUGUAUUUUCAACUUCAACAUAUGUUUUUUAGCUUUCAAUAGUGUUAAGUAACUUCAUGAAUAUCAACUCAUGUGGCUUAAUGUGUUUUCUUAGAUCAUAAGAUAUACUCCCUCCGUUUCAAUAUAGAUGAUGUUUUAGAAGAAGUAUUUUGUUUCAAUUUACAUGAAGUUUUGAGGUUUUAAGGUUAACUUUAACUUUAUUGGAAACUGUUCAACCAAUUAAAUUUUACUGUCUUUUUUAUAAUUGGUUAAAUGAUUUAAAAACUAUAUACUUUUAAUAUACUUUUUUUAAAUCUAACUUUCUUAAUCUUUGUGCACUAAGGCAAAACAUCAAGUAUUAUGAAACAGAGGGAGUAUUUUUUAAGAUUUAAAAUAAAAUUUAAGUUUCCCGCAUAAAUUUUAAUUUUCCGCUUAUAUUUGAAUUUUCUGCUUAAAAUUUAAGUCUUCCGAGAAGACUUCUCAUAUGUUUUAAUUUUUCGCUUAAACUUUCGAGAAGUCUUCUAGUCAAAGUAUUAUAUGUUUGAACUUAUGUAAUGUUUGAUUUUUUGUGAAUAUGAUUAAGUUUUCUUGAGAAGUGUUCUCCUUAAUUUUAGUAAAUUUGACUAAAUUUUUGUGUUAUUGUGUUUUGCUAUUGAAGUUAGAUCAAUAACUUCAAUAAUGUCAAGUACUUUUGGUAAAAUAAUUUUGUAGACAUGAACAUAUUUACCAAUCUCUUUUCAUUAACAUCUCUUUAGAUUUACAAAAGAAUCUACAACAAAAAAGUAUACAUACAAAUCACAAAACAGAUCAUAAACAAAAUUAUUACAUAUAGAGUUAGAGAAUAUUCCUCCACAAAGACUUUCUCGAAGAAUGAUCUGAAAAGUCUUCUACUGCAUUAUAUGUUAAAAGACUUCCGAGAAUAUUUCUCACAAGUCUUCCAAAACCUGACUCAGCUCUAAAAAAUCUGCAUAUCCAAAAACGUUCAAAUGACUUCAAAACAUAGAAAAUGAGUGGAAGAUGAGCUAGAUUACCUUAAUAAAAAUCACAAAAAUACAUAUCCAAAAUUUAUAGAUCUACUUUUAAAUGAGUGGAAGAUGAGAACCAUGUAAUAAAAAAUGUUCAAAAACAAGAUAGAUUAGUAAGAAAGACAUAACACAAAAAAUGAGAAAUUAAUGUAAAAUUUGGUGUUUUCAAGAUUAAAGAGAUUAGAGAGAGGUUGGAUAAUUUUAGUUUGAAAAAGAUAAGAGGUUGAAGUAACAAAAAGUUAUUAAAACAGACAUUGUGACUUACCAAUCUUUGAUUAAAAGUUUUUAAAAAAUCCAUUUUAAAAAGAUAAUUUUAAAUAAUAUAAUUUAUAUUUUAAAAAUAAUAAGUAUUUUAUUUAAAUCAUUUUUUCUCAAAUUAUUAAAAAAUAAUUUAAAUAAAAUAAAUUAAGGUAUAUUUAAUGAAUACAAAAGAUUUUUCUUUUUCUUUUUAAUUUAAAUUUAAAUUUCUGUUUUAUAUUUUCCAAAUAACAUUUAUAAUAAAAUACAUUUAUAAAAUUUAAAGCGAAAAUAUUUUUAUACGUAAUGUGAUUUCAUUAAAAAAAAAGUUUACAAAAAUAAUCUUGGCAUUAAAGUAAAUUAACGAAAACCAUAUUAUUAAAAAAUCAAAAUAUACUUACCUAAGAUGAAAAACCAAAUUAAUGCAAUGAAUACAAUUAGUUUGAUUUGGCUGAAUUAGAUUAAAAAUAAUUGUACUUUAAUUUGAAGGAAUAUGCGUAAGUCGAUCAAUCCAAAUUCUUUUAUUUAAAAAAAAAGAAAAAUUAAGAUUUGUUUGUUGCACAUAUCACUUAUUGUUAAUUACGGCCAUUUAUUAUGUCGACGGUUUUCUAAAUCCAUAAACCUUGUAACAAUCACGAAUGAUUUGUGCAUCGUAACAAGAAAAUUAGGUAAACAUUGCAUGAUAUUAAAAAAGAAAAAUGGUAAAAAGAAACAACAUAUGUUCGAAAGAGUUGGUUGAAUACUAGAAAAAAAAAAUGAAAAACUGGUCUCGAGAUGAUUCAGAAAGAGAGAGAGAGGGGUCAAAAAUCAAAUACGAAACUUGCAAACCAAGUAACCUUUUCUUCCUCUUCUUCAAAGAAGAUCGGCUACGUUUGAUGGAAGCUCCUCAACAACCACAUUGUAAAACUUCUGAAUAUCAAAAAGCAUCCUCUCAUCGUCCUUGGUCACAAAGUUAAUCGCCACACCUUUCCUCCCAAACCUCCCACUCCUACCAAUACGGUGAAGG